AAGACAUGCCGCCAGGAUUAGUGAAACACUGUUAUGAUACUCUUCAAUGGGAACACCAAUAACACCACGAUGGGGCAGAGUCGACGGCAAUUGAUUUCCCAACCGGAAAAGGCCUUUCAAAAUGUAACGCAUUAUCACAAUUUAGUGUCAGGCAAAUAUCGGCCAUGGAAAUAAGAGACAACAUGGGACUCAAUCGAGGUCUUUUGAAUUUGACAAAGAAAUGUGACAAAGAUAUGAUGCUGGCAGAUGUCAUCAUCUUCUUCUAGGAAGCCGGAGAAAUACAAAAUCUAAAUAUGAUUGCAGAUGAAAGUUGAGUAAUCACGAUGCGAUACAGUUAUUCAGAAGAGCAGAUUAUGUUCAUGUUUUGUUUUAUCGAUUUAAAAUAAUCAGUUUUAAAUGGUUUAAUAUUUGAAAUCAAUUGUUAAACAUUAACUUGCCUAGUUAACGUUUACAUAUAAGUAGCAAUGUUGCCCUGAUGUUUCUAUUCUAUUGUCUGAAACUUGUGUUAUAUCAUUAUUAAGCGUAAAAAAUUAGACUAAAAUGGGAAUGAUUAGACAAUAAAUACUGAUACAUUCAUUCAGGAUAUUUUAUCGGAUAUUUAUCUAGAUUCAAUACAGACAACAGUUUAAGUUACGGCCUUCAUCAUUCUGUAAGCUCUCUAGGUGCUUAUACUAUGUAUGGUACCUACUAGGACGGUUCUUGAACUCGACAAAGGACAUGAACAUAGCACAGUUCUUUUUCAUUCGUGAUCAUAAAUACCAUCAAUAAAACUAUAAAGAAUACACUGAUGUAAAUAGUACAGUUCUUUAUUUUUCUUUUUAGGCAAAAGUCACCCUAUUAUUGUAAGCCAUGGUGCAAUGGAAGCCAAACCCCUAUAGGCCUACAGGAGAAAUUAUAAAGGCAAAUACAAAAGACGUGUUACUUAAAAACAUAGUUGAAGAAUACAGCACUGGCGGACAUCUUGUGUGGUGAAUUGCAUCGGAUGGAAUGCAGUCAAACCGAUCAUUAUGCAGCAAGUAAUUGCAUAAUCGUGGACGAUUCAAUUGUUGAAGCAGAAGUAAGGCUAAAGCUUCUUCGAAUAAAAGAAGAGUUAGCACAAUAAAUGGAAGAUGAGAUGGACGAAAGAGGAUUGAAUGCUUCAUUUGACGAUGACUAAUUCGAGGAAUCACACUAUGGAUAUGAAGAUUACAACGGAGAGGAAAGUGAUGUAUGAUAGAUAAAAACACCGACAUAAGGCUUACCCAGAAUUCAAAUGGAUUUCUAUUGGGGGUGGGGAGGGGUUAAGAGCUAUACUUUGCUCAAAAAUUAU
This is a long non-coding RNA of Anneissia japonica, 1309 nucleotides long. RefSeq lists it as uncharacterized. The record is from RefSeq and is a predicted model, not a curated record. NCBI's taxonomy places the organism in Eukaryota, Metazoa, Echinodermata, Crinoidea, Comatulida, Comatulidae. The transcript has 4 exons.